UCGGGAAUUUUGGGCAAUGGGCGAAAGCCUGACCCAGCAACGCCGCGUGAAGGAUGAAGUAUUUCGGUAUGUAAACUUCGUAAGAAUAGGAAGAAUAAAUGACGGUACUAUUUGUAAGGUCCGGCUAACUACGUGCCAGCAGCCGCGGUAAUACGUAGGGACCAAGCGUUGUUCGGAUUUACUGGGCGUAAAGGGCGCGUAGGCGGUUUGUCAAGUCAGUUGUGAAAUCUCCGAGCUUAACUCGGAACGGUCAACUGAUACUGUCAAACUAGAGUACAGAAGGGGCAAUCGGAAUUCUUGGUGUAGCGGUGAAAUGCGUAGAUAUCAAGAGGAACACCUGAGGCGAAGGCGGGUUGCUGGGCUGAUACUGACGCUGAAGCGCGAAAGCUAGGGUAGCAAACGGGAUUAGAUACCCUGGUAGUCCCUGAGCGGGCUGGCAAGGCGCAU
Molecule: ribosomal RNA, 447 nt
Filed under: uncultured bacterium
Lineage: Bacteria
Description: bacterial SSU rRNA
Rfam family: Bacterial small subunit ribosomal RNA
Source: RNAcentral